Molecule: ribosomal RNA, 505 nt
Filed under: uncultured bacterium
Lineage: Bacteria
Description: partial 16S ribosomal RNA
Rfam family: Bacterial small subunit ribosomal RNA
Source: RNAcentral
GACGAACGCUGGCGGCGUGCCUAAUACAUGCAAGUAGAACGCACAGUUUAUACCGUAGCUUGCUACACCAUAGACUGUGAGUUGCGAACGGGUGAGUAACGCGUAGGUAACCUGCCUGGUAGCGGGGGAUAACUAUUGGAAACGAUAGCUAAUACCGCAUAAUAUUAAUUAUUGCAUGAUAAUUAAUUGAAAGGUGCAAUUGCACCACUACCAGAUGGACCUGCGUUGUAUUAGCUAGUAGGUGAGGUAACGGCUCACCUAGGCGACGAUACAUAGCCGACCUGAGAGGGUGAUCGGCCACACUGGGACUGAGACACGGCCCAGACUCCUACGGGAGGCAGCAGUAGGGAAUCUUCGGCAAUGGACGAAAGUCUGACCGAGCAACGCCGCGUGAGUGAAGAAGGUUUUCGGAUCGUAAAGCUCUGUUGUAAGAGAAGAACGGGUGUGAGAGUGGAAAGUUCACACUGUGACGGUAUCUCACCAGAAAGGGACGGCUAACUACGUG